Molecule: ribosomal RNA, 775 nt
Filed under: uncultured Neocallimastigales
Lineage: Eukaryota; Fungi; Neocallimastigomycota; Neocallimastigomycetes; Neocallimastigales
Description: partial large subunit ribosomal RNA
Rfam family: Eukaryotic large subunit ribosomal RNA
Source: RNAcentral
UACGACUACAUAUCAGGCAUAUCAAUAAGCGGAGGAAAAGAAACUAACUAGGAUUCCCUCAGUAACGGCGAGUGAAGCGGGAAGAGCUCAAAUUUGAAAUCUUCAAGGUUUUACCUCGACGAAUUGUAGUUUAAAGAAGUGUUUUCUGUUGGUGUUUUGGUAAAAGUUCUUUGGAAUAGGACAUCAUAGAGGGUGAGAAUCCCGUAUUUGACCAUUAUUUUCAACUGUGUGAUACACUUUCAACGAGUCGGAUUGUUUGGGAAUGCAGUCCAAAAUGGGUGGUAAAUUUCAUCUAAAGCUAAAUACUUGGCGAGAGACCGAUAGCGAACAAGUACCGUGAGGGAAAGAUGAAAAGAACUUUGAAAGGAGAGUUAAACAGUACGUGAAAUUGUCAAAAGGGAAGCGUUUGACACCAGUGUUGUUUUCUCGAAAAUCAAUUAAAAAUGGCAGUGAUUUUGUGUUGUAUUGACCUUAAAAGCUUUCUUCACUUUUUUCAUGUCUUUUUUAAUGCACUUUUCGUUUAACAAGUCAACAUCAGUUUCUUUUGUUGUAAAAGGGUCAUUGGAAGGUGGCUUUCUUUUCGGAGAAAGUGUUUAUAGCCUUUGGCUUCUGCAAUCGGAGAGAUUGAGGUCUGCAGCGUAGAUCCUUCGGGGUUAGAUACGUAGAUGCUAAGUUAUAGUUUUUCAUAGACAACUUGUUGACUAUGAUUAAUCAUGUAGCCUACUCGUUUACGCUAUUUUACCUACGCUUAGGAUGUUGAAUCUGUGCGAGACUA